This is a non-coding RNA of Sus scrofa (pig), 1301 nucleotides long. The record is from RefSeq and is a predicted model, not a curated record. NCBI's taxonomy places the organism in Eukaryota, Metazoa, Chordata, Mammalia, Artiodactyla, Suidae.
CUGGGAACCUCCAUAUGCCGUGGGUGCGGCCCUAGAAAAGGCAAAAGACAAAAAACAAAUCAAAACAAAAAUAUAUGGAUGAUAAAGACCCAGCUUCUGCCUUGACUCUAGAGGGGGAGCCAGGAGCAUAAACAAAGAAGCUGUGAUGAUAGAGCAUGAACAACAUGGUAAUCAAGGGGCUUAAAGAAGGCUUCUUAGGGAAGCAAGAGUUGAGAUAGGGGGGGCUGAAGAAUGAGGAGGUUUCCAGAUGAAACACACAGGUAUAUCUAGGGACCUGUGAUAAUGUAAGGGGAAGAAGUAUUUGUAUGUGUGUGUGUGUGUGGAUGGGGAGUGACGUCAGAAAGGGACAAGGGGCCAAAUGAUGAAAUGCCUUAUCCACCACACCGAAAGCAUACUCAGAGGCUGAGAGAGUCCAUGGUCAAUGGGAAUUCUGAGGGCCAAAGCAUGCCACCUGGGGGACCAGCCCUGCGUGGAGCACCAGCCAGUGGAGGGCUGCCAGGGUGGAGAGGCUCCGGAGAAGCACAGAAGCAGCUGCAGAAGUGAUGAGUGGGCAAUCUGCAGGUAAUUAGAUCUGUGUGUUUUGCAUCAGAGAGCUGAAAACCUAGCUCUGUGCUGGCCCCCAGUAGGGCAGAACAACCUUACCUGGUACCGUUGGCAGGCCUGAGGCAGAGGCAGAAACGAAGAGGACAAGAGCACAAGGAAAGGGAGGAAAGUAGUUGAAAGAAAAAGCAAGUUGAAAGCUGAGGUCUCUCUGGAGAUGAAGAUUCACACUCAUUUAACCUGCAUUGAAUGUAUUGAAUAACCCUACUAUAGGCUCGUACGAGAUGGAAUGUAAAAAAAAGCUAAAGUUGUCAUAAAGAACAGCGAAUAUAAUCUAUUAUCCAAUUUAAUAUACCCUGUCAUUCAGAUGCCCAGUCGGGGCCUCCAUGCUCACAUCAUACAUAUGUACAAAGUAGAAAAAGGCACCACUUCCCCAAGUCUUCUUCAAGCUCUAGCUCUAUCCCACUGAUUUUGUUUCUCUGGAGAACCUUGAUUGAUGCAAUUGAAGAUAAGGAUUUGAGGGGGCAAAUAUAUAGGUUUCCUGUGGGUCACAGGUGGAUUACAUGAAAAAACUGGAUUUUGGUCAUCUUAAAAGAGAUUCUACCAAAACUGUCUUUGUAAAGGAUGGUAGUAGGCCAUCUAAAGCUUCAGAAUGAAGACAUUUCAUCAAAGAAGACAUAUAGAUGGCCAACAGGCACAUGAAAAAAUGCUCAACAUCAGUAAUUAUUAGAGAAAUGCAAACCAGAACUACAAUGAGGUAC